GGGUUGUGAGGUUAAGCGACUAAGCGUACACGGUGGAUGCCCUGGCAGUCAGAGGCGAUGAAGGACGUGCUAAUCUGCGAUAAGCGUCGGUAAGGUGAUAUGAACCGUUAUAACCGGCGAUUUCCGAAUGGGGAAACCCAGUGUGAUUCGUCACACUAUCAUUAACUGAAUCCAUAGGUUAAUGAGGCGAACCGGGGGAACUGAAACAUCUAAGUACCCCGAGGAAAAGAAAUCAACCGAGAUUCCCCCAGUAGCGGCGAGCGAACGGGGAGCAGCCCAGAGCCUGAAUCAGUGUGUGUGUUAGUGGAAGCGUCUGGAAAGGCGCGCGAUACAGGGUGACAGCCCCGUACACAAAAAUGCACAUGCUGUGAGCUCGAUGAGUAGGGCGGGACACGUGGUAUCCUGUCUGAAUAUGGGGGGACCAUCCUCCAAGGCUAAAUACUCCUGACUGACCGAUAGUGAACCAGUACCGUGAGGGAAAGGCGAAAAGAACCCCGGCGAGGGGAGUGAAAAAGAACCUGAAACCGUGUACGUACAAGCAGUGGGAGCACGCUUAGGCGUGUGACUGCGUACCUUUUGUAUAAUGGGUCAGCGACUUAUAUUCUGUAGCAAGGUUAACCGAAUAGGGGAGCCGAAGGGAAACCGAGUCUUAACUGGGCGUUAAGUUGCAGGGUAUAGACCCGAAACCCGGUGAUCUAGCCAUGGGCAGGUUGAAGGUUGGGUAACACUAACUGGAGGACCGAACCGACUAAUGUUGAAAAAUUAGCGGAUGACUUGUGGCUGGGGGUGAAAGGCCAAUCAAACCGGGAGAUAGCUGGUUCUCCCCGAAAGCUAUUUAGGUAGCGCCUCGUGAAUUCAUCUCCGGGGGUAGAGCACUGUUUCGGCAAGGGGGUCAUCCCGACUUACCAACCCGAUGCAAACUACGAAUACCGGAGAAUGUUAUCACGGGAGACACACGGCGGGUGCUAACGUCCGUCGUGAAGAGGGAAACAACCCAGACCGCCAGCUAAGGUCCCAAAGUCAUGGUUAAGUGGGAAACGAUGUGGGAAGGCCCAGACAGCCAGGAUGUUGGCUUAGAAGCAGCCAUCAUUUAAAGAAAGCGUAAUAGCUCACUGGUCGAGUCGGCCUGCGCGGAAGAUGUAACGGGGCUAAACCAUGCACCGAAGCUGCGGCAGCGACGCUGAUGCGUUGUUGGGUAGGGGAGCGUUCUGUAAGCCUGCGAAGGUGUGCUGUGAGGCAUGCUGGAGGUAUCAGAAGUGCGAAUGCUGACAUAAGUAACGAUAAAGCGGGUGAAAAGCCCGCUCGCCGGAAGACCAAGGGUUCCUGUCCAACGUUAAUCGGGGCAGGGUGAGUCGACCCCUAAGGCGAGGCCGAAAGGCGUAGUCGAUGGGAAACAGGUUAAUAUUCCUGUACUUGGUGUUACUGCGAAGGGGGGACGGAGAAGGCUAUGUUGGCCGGGCGACGGUUGUCCCGGUUUAAGCGUGUAGGCUGGUUUUCCAGGCAAAUCCGGAAAAUCAAGGCUGAGGCGUGAUGACGAGGCACUACGGUGCUGAAGCAACAAAUGCCCUGCUUCCAGGAAAAGCCUCUAAGCAUCAGGUAACAUCAAAUCGUACCCCAAACCGACACAGGUGGUCAGGUAGAGAAUACCAAGGCGCUUGAGAGAACUCGGGUGAAGGAACUAGGCAAAAUGGUGCCGUAACUUCGGGAGAAGGCACGCUGAUAUGUAGGUGAAGUCCCUCGCGGAUGGAGCUGAAAUCAGUCGAAGAUACCAGCUGGCUGCAACUGUUUAUUAAAAACACAGCACUGUGCAAACACGAAAGUGGACGUAUACGGUGUGACGCCUGCCCGGUGCCGGAAGGUUAAUUGAUGGGGUCAGCGCAAGCGAAGCUCUUGAUCGAAGCCCCGGUAAACGGCGGCCGUAACUAUAACGGUCCUAAGGUAGCGAAAUUCCUUGUCGGGUAAGUUCCGACCUGCACGAAUGGCGUAAUGAUGGCCAGGCUGUCUCCACCCGAGACUCAGUGAAAUUGAACUCGCUGUGAAGAUGCAGUGUACCCGCGGCAAGACGGAAAGACCCCGUGAACCUUUACUAUAGCUUGACACUGAACAUUGAGCCUUGAUGUGUAGGAUAGGUGGGAGGCUUUGAAGUGUGGACGCCAGUCUGCAUGGAGCCGACCUUGAAAUACCACCCUUUAAUGUUUGAUGUUCUAACGUUGACCCGUAAUCCGGGUUGCGGACAGUGUCUGGUGGGUAGUUUGACUGGGGCGGUCUCCUCCUAAAGAGUAACGGAGGAGCACGAAGGUUGGCUAAUCCUGGUCGGACAUCAGGAGGUUAGUGCAAUGGCAUAAGCCAGCUUGACUGCGAGCGUGACGGCGCGAGCAGGUGCGAAAGCAGGUCAUAGUGAUCCGGUGGUUCUGAAUGGAAGGGCCAUCGCUCAACGGAUAAAAGGUACUCCGGGGAUAACAGGCUGAUACCGCCCAAGAGUUCAUAUCGACGGCGGUGUUUGGCACCUCGAUGUCGGCUCAUCACAUCCUGGGGCUGAAGUAGGUCCCAAGGGUAUGGCUGUUCGCCAUUUAAAGUGGUACGCGAGCUGGGUUUAGAACGUCGUGAGACAGUUCGGUCCCUAUCUGCCGUGGGCGCUGGAGAACUGAGGGGGGCUGCUCCUAGUACGAGAGGACCGGAGUGGACGCAUCACUGGUGUUCGGGUUGUCAUGCCAAUGGCACUGCCCGGUAGCUAAAUGCGGAAGAGAUAAGUGCUGAAAGCAUCUAAGCACGAAACUUGCCCCGAGAUGAGUUCUCCCUGACUCCUUGAGAGUCCUGAAGGAACGUUGAAGACGACGACGUUGAUAGGCCGGGUGUGUAAGCGCAGCGAUGCGUUGAGCUAACCGGUACUAAUGAACCGUGAGGCUUAACCUUACAACGCCGAAG
RNAcentral lists this ribosomal RNA (2925 nucleotides) under Escherichia coli. RNAcentral's name for it is "partial 23S ribosomal RNA". It matches the Rfam family "Bacterial large subunit ribosomal RNA". Lineage: Bacteria; Pseudomonadati; Pseudomonadota; Gammaproteobacteria; Enterobacterales; Enterobacteriaceae. The record is from RNAcentral.